This 428-nucleotide ribosomal RNA is filed under the name uncultured bacterium. Its description in RNAcentral is "bacterial SSU rRNA". It matches the Rfam family "Bacterial small subunit ribosomal RNA", at positions 30 to 459 of the family's 1533-position model. The record is from RNAcentral.
AUUGAACGCUGGCGGCAUGCCUUACACAUGCAAGUCGAACGGUAACGGGCCUUCGGGUGCCGACGAGUGGCGAACGGGUGAGUAAUGCAUCGGAACGUACCUUUCAGUGGGGGAUAACGUAGCGAAAGUUACGCUAAUACCGCAUAUUCUGUGAGCAGGAAAGCAGGGGAUCGCAAGACCUUGCGCUGAUUGAGCGGCCGAUGUCAGAUUAGCUAGUUGGUGAGGUAAAGGCUCACCAAGGCGACGAUCUGUAGCGGGUCUGAGAGGAUGAUCCGCCACACUGGAACUGAGACACGGUCCAGACUCCUACGGGAGGCAGCAGUGGGGAAUUUUGGACAAUGGGGGCAACCCUGAUCCAGCCAUGCCGCGUGAGUGAAGAAGGCCUCGGUUGGUAAGUACGUCUUUCGUCCGGGUACGGAAAGUACGAC